Molecule: ribosomal RNA, 496 nt
Filed under: uncultured bacterium
Lineage: Bacteria
Description: partial 16S ribosomal RNA
Rfam family: Bacterial small subunit ribosomal RNA
Source: RNAcentral
AUGAACGCUGGCGGCGUGCCUAAUACAUGCAAGUCGAGCGAACGGACGAGAAGCUUGCUUCUCUGAUGUUAGCGGCGGACGGGUGAGUAACACGUGGAUAACCUACCUAUAAGACUGGGAUAACUUCGGGAAACCGGAGCUAAUACCGGCUGAUAUUUUGAACCGCAUGGUUCAAAAGUGAAAGACGGUCUUGCUGUCACUUAUAGAUGGAUCCGCGCUGCAUUAGCUAGUUGGUAAGGUAACGGCUUACCAAGGAAACGAUGCAUAGCCGACCUGAGAGGGUGAUCGGCCACACUGGAACUGAGACACGGUCCAGACUCCUACGGGAGGCAGCAGUAGGGAAUCUUCCGCAAUGGGCGAAAGCCUGACGGAGCAACGCCGCGUGAGUGAUGAAGGUCUUCGGAUCGUAAAACUCUGUUAUUAGGGAAGAACAUAUGUGUAAGUAACUGUGCACAUCUUGACGGUACCUAAUCAGAAAGCCACGGCUAACUACGUG